CUACGUGCCAGCAGCCGCGGUAAUACGGAGGGUGCGAGCGUUAAUCGGAAUAACUGGGCGUAAAGGGCACGCAGGCGGUGACUUAAGUGAGGUGUGAAAGCCCCGGGCUUAACCUGGGAAUUGCAUUUCAUACUGGGUCGCUAGAGUACUUUAGGGAGGGGUAGAAUUCCACGUGUAGCGGUGAAAUGCGUAGAGAUGUGGAGGAAUACCGAAGGCGAAGGCAGCCCCUUGGGAAUGUACUGACGCUCAUGUGCGAAAGCGUGGGUAGCAAACAGGAUUAGAUACCCUGGUAGUCCACGCCCUAAACGAUGUCAAUUAGCUGUUGGGCAACUUGAUUGCUUAGUAGCGUAGCUAACGCGUGAAAUUGACCGCCUGGGGAGUACGGUCGCAAGAUUAAAACUCAAAGGAAUUGACGGGGACCCGCACAAGCGGUGGAUGAUGUGGAUUAAUUCGAUGCAACGCGAAGAACCUUACCUGGUCUUGACAU
This 487-nucleotide ribosomal RNA is filed under the name uncultured bacterium. RNAcentral describes it as "bacterial SSU rRNA". It matches the Rfam family "Bacterial small subunit ribosomal RNA", at positions 501 to 987 of the family's 1533-position model. The record is from RNAcentral.